GGCGAGUAGGAAUCACUCCAAAAAAUAUGGAUAUUUCAAGUGUUUGGAUGUUUACCUCCAAUCAACAAACCAAGGACAAACCUAGUCUGAAGUGCUAUCAGACAAAUCAGAAAUAUGUUUCCCACUGAGAAAUUGCAUGGUCAAGAUUUAUUGUACAAGAUAGUGCCGUGAUUUUUCUGGAAACCUCAGCUGGCUCAGCCAUUUAACCAGCCAACCGCAUAUGAAUAAGAUGACGGUAAUGGUCUACAUAGGACUUUUCGUCUUGGGAACGUCCAAAGUAGAUGUGAAG
Sinocyclocheilus grahami is the source of this 289-nucleotide long non-coding RNA. RefSeq lists it as uncharacterized. The record is from RefSeq and is a predicted model, not a curated record. Lineage: Eukaryota; Metazoa; Chordata; Actinopteri; Cypriniformes; Cyprinidae. The transcript is spliced from 3 exons.